This 1462-nucleotide long non-coding RNA is filed under the name Olea europaea subsp. europaea. The record is from RNAcentral. Lineage: Eukaryota; Viridiplantae; Streptophyta; Magnoliopsida; Lamiales; Oleaceae.
UUGAAAUGCAAUAGCAUUUUUCUCCAGUGAUCCUUUCCUAUGCAGUUUUUCAUGACGUUAAAGUAAAGCGAAUUCAAAGAUAUUAAGUUCAUGAAUUCAACGGCUAAUAUGAUGAUGGCUAGAUAGAAAGUAUUCGUUUGGGAGUCGAAUGAUAAGAUACAACUUGCAAGCACCACCCAUAAGAUCCAACGACUGAAUAGAUAUUUGAUUUCUAUUUCGAAAAAUUAUGUAUCGAACACGAGAUUUCUGCCAACUGGCAAGUGUAGCAGGUAUCCGUCGUAAAACUCUAGACAACACCAAAAUACAAUCAAUGAAAAAAAAGAAAUCAAAUAACACUUGAAAAGACGAUCCAAAAAUUAGAUGUAACCAACUUAAGAUGUACAUGUAUCGACCAGCUAAGGUACAUGGAACAUAUGCCUCUGUAUUUACUCAACAAGAAUAGUCGUCUUGUCAUCAUCAAAGUUCUCAGGUUGAAGGCUUGCUUAUAGUCAUGAAAAUAUUCUAGUUAUCCCCAGAUUGCCUUUUGGAAACAUGUUCAUCUGAUACUUUGGGUACACGCUUCCUUUUGCUUCGGGAAUUGCGUUUUCUUGUUGAUCUUUUGGUCACACGUUUCUCUGUGUUCUCUGGGAUGCUGAUCACUUUUACAUCAGAAGUUGGGAGUUCAGGAGGAGCAUCUGGCCAUGGCGUGUGUUUUGCUGGGAUGGUUACAUCCAAUGGGGGGUCAAUUACCCACCUGAAUGAAUCGGAUAGUAUCGACGAAUCAUUACAUCUAUAAAUUAUCAUAUAGAGAAGCGCAUUUUCUAUAGUAAAUGCAAUAAUUUAUAAAUGCACAUCAUCAUGGUCGUCUAUAUGAUAUAUAUAAACAGGCCAAUAAAUAUAUGUUGCACCACAUGUUGAUAAAAUGCCCCGAUGACCAGGUUAAAGAAAGGAAGCAUAGUCAAUUUCAUGGCCAGUGGCCCUAACUACAGAAAUAAGCUCUUCAAUAUGUUUGGGCGAUUGCGCGUAUGUUCUAGUAUACAAAUGUUCUAGUAUACUGUAUCACUCUGUAUGAAGCACCUGUAACUUCAUGCAAACACACUUUCUGCCAAACAAAGGACUAUAAUUGAUGGCGAAAGAGGUUAAGCCAAAGAUCUACUUCUAUAAGCUGACACAAGAAUUAUGUAGAACUUGAGUUACAGCUAGCCAAACAUUGAAACACCGUCACUUUUCAGUUAAAUACCACUUCUUUUGUAUCUCUCACAAAACAAAUGAACAAUAUAAGCUGGAAAUUUCUUGUCAAAGGACACUCUAAUUUACUUCUAUUCACCACUACCAAAACUCAACAAUUCACACUAUCCCAACCCCAACACAGAACCCCAUUAGAACUCAACACCAUCACCACCGCCCACUAACAAGAAUCUCCACUAAAAAUGCAAGUGGCACCGAAUCAAAUCCAAAUGAACCGAAUUUGCCACCAACACAA